UGCCAGCCGCCGCGGUAAUACGGGGGGUGCAAGCGUUGUUCGGAAUUAUUGGGCGUAAAGCGUGCGUAGGCGGACUAUUAAGUCUGAUGUGAAAUCCCUCGGCUCAACCGAGGACCUGCGCUUAAUACUGGAAGACUAGAAAACGGAAGAGGGUAGUGGAAUUCCCAGUGUAGAGGUGAAAUUCGUAGAUAUUCGGAGGAACACCAGUGGCGAAGGCGGCUAACUGGCUCGGUACUGACGCUGAGAUGCGAAAGCGUGGGGAGCAAACAGGAUUAGAUA
RNAcentral lists this ribosomal RNA (279 nucleotides) under uncultured bacterium. RNAcentral's name for it is "partial 16S ribosomal RNA". It matches the Rfam family "Bacterial small subunit ribosomal RNA", at positions 506 to 784 of the family's 1533-position model. The record is from RNAcentral.